GGUUAAGUGACUAAGCGUAUACGGUGGAUGCCUAGGCAGUUAGAGGCGAUGAAGGACGUGUAAGUCUGCGAAAAGUUGUGGGGAGCCGACAAAAUGCUUUGAUCCACAAAUGUCCGAAUGGGGAAACCCACCGCUUCGGCGGUAUUGUAACGUGAAUACAUAGCGUUAUGAGGCAAACGAGGGGAACUGAAACAUCUAAGUACCCUUAGGAAAAGAAAUCAACCGAGAUUCCCCUAGUAGCGGCGAGCGAACGGGGAUUAGCCCUUAAGCUAAUUACAAGCGAGUGGAAUGUGCUGGAAAGCACAGCGAUACAAGGUGAUAGCCCUGUACACGAACGCGAAUUUUAAGUGAAAUCGAGUAGGUCGGGACACGUGUUAUCUUGACUGAAUAUGGGGGGACCAUCCUCCAAGGCUAAAUACUCCUAACUGACCGAUAGUGAACUAGUACCGUGAGGGAAAGGCGAAAAGAACCCCUGUGAGGGGAGUGAAAUAGAACCUGAAACCGUAUACGUACAAGCAGUGGGAGCAGACUUGUUCUGUGACUGCGUACCUUUUGUAUAAUGGGUCAGCGACUUAUAUUUUGUAGCAAGGUUAACCGAAUAGGGGAGCCGUAGCGAAAGCGAGUGUUAACUGCGCGUUUUAGUUGCAAGGUAUAGACCCGAAACCCGGUGAUCUAGCCAUGGGCAGGUUGAAGGUUGAGUAACAUCAACUGGAGGACCGAACCGACUAACGUUGAAAAGUUAGCGGAUGACUUGUGGCUGGGGGUGAAAGGCCAAUCAAACCGGGAGAUAGCUGGUUCUCCCCGAAAGCUAUUUAGGUAGCGCCUCGGACGAAUACCACUGGGGGUAGAGCACUGUUAAGGCUAGGGGGUCAUCCCGACUUACCAACCCUUUGCAAACUCCGAAUACCAGUGAGUACUAUCCGGGAGACACACGGCGGGUGCUAACGUCCGUCGUGAAGAGGGAAACAACCCAGACCGCCAGCUAAGGUCCCAAAAUUAUUGCUAAGUGGGAAACGAUGUGGGAAGGCUAAGACAGCUAGGAGGUUGGCUUAGAAGCAGCCACCCUUUAAAGAAAGCGUAAUAGCUCACUAGUCGAGUCGGCCUGCGCGGAAGAUGUAACGGGGCUAAGCAAUAUACCGAAGCUGCGGACGCAUAGUUUACUAUGCGUGGUAGGGGAGCGUUGUGUAAGUGGCUGAAGGUGAACUGAGAGGUUUGCUGGACAUAUCACAAGUGCGAAUGCUGACAUGAGUAACGAUAAUGCGGGUGAAAAACCCGCACGCCGGAAGACCAAGGUUUCCUGUCCCAUGCUAAUCAGGGCAGGGUAAGUCGGCCCCUAAGGCGAGGCAGAAAUGCGUAGUCGAUGGGAAACGGAUUAAUAUUUCCGUACUUGGUAUAUCAGUGAUGGGGGGACGGAGAAGGUUAUGCAAGCAUAGCGUUGGUUGUCUAUGUGAAAGUGUGUAGGGUUGAAUCUUAGGUAAAUCCGGGAUUCUACAUGCCUGAGACACGAGACGAGACUCUACGGAGUUGAAGUUGCAAAUACCCUGCUUCCAGGAAAAGCCUCUAAACUUAUGAUAUAUCGAACCGUACCCCAAACCGACACAGGUGGUCAGGUAGAGAAUACUAAGGCGCUUGAGAGAACUCGGGUGAAGGAACUCGGCAAAAUCGUACCGUAACUUCGGGAGAAGGUACGCCGCUGUUUGUGAUGAGACUUGCUCUCUAAGCGAAUGGCGGCCGCAGUGAAAAGGUGGCUGGGACUGUUUAUUAAAAACACAGCACUGUGCUAAAUCGAAAGAUGACGUAUACGGUGUGACACCUGCCCGGUGCCGGAAGGUUAAUUGAUGGGGUUAGCGCAAGCGAAGCUCUUGAUCGAAGCCCCGGUAAACGGCGGCCGUAACUAUAACGGUCCUAAGGUAGCGAAAUUCCUUGUCGGGUAAGUUCCGACCUGCACGAAUGGUGUAACCAUGGCCACGCUGUCUCCACCCGAGACUCAGUGAAAUUGAAAUCGCAGUGAAGAUGCUGUGUACCCGCACCUAGACGGAAAGACCCCGUGAACCUUUACUAUAGCUUGGCACUGAACAUUGACCCUACAUGUGUAGGAUAGGUGGGAGACUUUGAAGCGUGAACGCCAGUUU
Molecule: ribosomal RNA, 2132 nt
Filed under: Paraglaciecola chathamensis
Lineage: Bacteria; Pseudomonadati; Pseudomonadota; Gammaproteobacteria; Alteromonadales; Alteromonadaceae
Description: partial 23S ribosomal RNA
Rfam family: Bacterial large subunit ribosomal RNA
Source: RNAcentral